GCCUGGUGGUGCGUGCCUGUAGUCCCAGAUACUCAGGAGGCUGAGGUGGGAGGGUCGCUUGAACUCGAUUUCUGGGCUGUAGUGCACUAUGCCGGUCUGGUGUCUGCACUAAGUUUGACGUCAAUAUGGUGACCUUCUGGGAGCAGGGGACCACCAGGUUGCCUAAGGAGGGGUGAACCGGCCCAGGUCGGAAACAGAGCAGGUCAAAACUCCCCUACUGCUCAGUAGCGGGAACGCCCCUCUGAAUAGCCACUACAGUCCAGCCUGAGCAACAUAGCCAGAACUUGUCUCUU
Callithrix jacchus (white-tufted-ear marmoset) is the source of this 293-nucleotide unclassified non-coding RNA. It matches the Rfam family "Metazoan signal recognition particle RNA". Rfam says of the family: The signal recognition particle (SRP) is a universally conserved ribonucleoprotein. NCBI's taxonomy places the organism in Eukaryota, Metazoa, Chordata, Mammalia, Primates, Cebidae. The record is from Ensembl.